GUCCAGUUGAUGAGUCCUGAAUAGGACGAAACGCGCAUUUUGGAU
This 45-nucleotide non-coding RNA is filed under the name Schistosoma haematobium. Lineage: Eukaryota; Metazoa; Platyhelminthes; Trematoda; Strigeidida; Schistosomatidae. The record is from RNAcentral.